UUAUCUCUCAUAUUAAAGCCAUAUAGCUAUAAAACUUUAUUCACGCCUCCACCAUCUCCUCCAUUUACUCUGCAUCUCUCACUCUUCUUCACCCAUUCGGUCGCCGCCGCCGCAACUAUUUCUCUAUCUUUCUCAGAGAUUUGUUGCUAGUUCAUCAUCAUCUUUAGAACAAGAAAGAUGGGGGAUUUGAUAUCAAUUGAUAAGCAGUGGGUUUCAUUUUCCUCAAAUAGGUUUUGGUGGUUUACCUCAAACAACUUGUGUGAAGUUGUUGAACACUAUUUUCUUCGUCUGCAAGUAUUUUAGUAUUAAUGGUGCUCAGAGGUUUGUUGGAUUUGAACAAAUCAAUUUUACAUCACAGAGCUCCAAAAUAUACCCUUGGAAAAAAGGACACAAAUUUAUCAUUUUCGGAGGAAGAAACCACACCCAUUCUGAGAUAAUAUUUACAUUUUACAUUUUUGUUGUAAUGGAAAUGAUAAAACAGUAUCUGAAUUAAUAUGUAUUUUUAGUAAUCCUAUUAUGUGCAAUUUACUCCACUUUCUUAAAGAUGAUGAUUUAAAGGAAAUUUCUGAACAAAA
This is a long non-coding RNA of Papaver somniferum (opium poppy), 575 nucleotides long. RefSeq lists it as uncharacterized. The record is from RefSeq and is a predicted model, not a curated record. NCBI's taxonomy places the organism in Eukaryota, Viridiplantae, Streptophyta, Magnoliopsida, Ranunculales, Papaveraceae. The transcript has 4 exons.